Molecule: ribosomal RNA, 253 nt
Filed under: uncultured bacterium
Lineage: Bacteria
Description: partial 16S ribosomal RNA
Rfam family: Bacterial small subunit ribosomal RNA
Source: RNAcentral
UACGUAGGGUGCAAGCGUUGUCCGGAAUUAUUGGGCGUAAAGAGCUCGUAGGCGGUCUGUCACGUCGGACGUGAAAAUCCAGGGCUCAACCCUGGACCUGCGUUCGAUACGGGCAGACUAGAGUUCGGUAGGGGAGACUGGAAUUCCUGAUGUAGCGGUGAAAUGCGCAGAUAUCAGGAGGAACACCGGUGGCGAAGGCGGGUCUCUGGGCCGAAACUGACGCUGAGGAGCGAAAGCGUGGGGAGCGAACAGG